AGGAAUAUAAUUCAAGUGAUAGAGUGCCUGCCUAGCAAGCACAAAACCCUGAGUUUAAAACUCAGUAUUGCCA
This 73-nucleotide transfer RNA is filed under the name Dipodomys ordii (Ord's kangaroo rat). It matches the Rfam family "tRNA". Rfam says of the family: Transfer RNA (tRNA) molecules are approximately 80 nucleotides in length. Their secondary structure includes four short double-helical elements and three loops (D, anti-codon, and T loops). Lineage: Eukaryota; Metazoa; Chordata; Mammalia; Rodentia; Heteromyidae. The record is from Rfam by way of RNAcentral.